RNAcentral lists this microRNA (24 nucleotides) under Anolis carolinensis (green anole). RNAcentral's name for it is "Aca-Mir-375_5p* (star (passenger))". RNAcentral also lists the same sequence under 2 other names. Lineage: Eukaryota; Metazoa; Chordata; Lepidosauria; Squamata; Anolidae. The record is from RNAcentral.
GCGUCGAGCCCCACGCACAAGACC